Gasterosteus aculeatus aculeatus (three-spined stickleback) is the source of this 1114-nucleotide non-coding RNA. NCBI's taxonomy places the organism in Eukaryota, Metazoa, Chordata, Actinopteri, Perciformes, Gasterosteidae. The record is from RefSeq and is a predicted model, not a curated record.
GAGCCCCAUCUCGUCCUCACUCCAUGUUGGAAACGGACCGAGGAAGAGGAGGAGGACGAGGAGGACGAGAAGGAACGGUGACGUCAGACCCGAAGGACUGCAGAGUCACGUGCUUUUACCAAAUUAUAAUAAAGAUAAUUGAACAUUUUGUAAUUUGCAAAAAAAAUAGCUAUUAAAAAUACACCUUUUAAAGCUAUUUUAAUUCUAAAAUACGUGCUAUCAUUAAAUAUGUCGUUUUUAAAUGAUAGUAUGUAUAAUAUCAGUUGCAAUUAGAAGUAUUAUACAUGAGCAAUUGAAAACUGGAACAGGUACAAUGAGAGCAGCAUAGUGUUAAGUAUCCCUGUACCAGUAGUACCACUACUGAGUAAUGUAUUGUGUAUGUGAGUUUUCAAUAGCGGUAGUAAUAGAGGAAGGACUGUAGUAGUAUUAGGAGUAGUGGGCGUAGUAUCAGUACUGUAACAAAGUGCACAUGAUAGCAUCCUUCUUAAAUAUCACACAAACACUGUUAACAUGUGUUUUCAUUUGUAUAAUUUCCUGUGAGCAAAGAAGACCGCAACGUGAUUUUCAGUGACACCUGGCGGCAGGGUCGUGCUACAGCAGCUUCACUCCACAUCUGCUCCACAGCUGGUCUCUACAACAAUCUUCAGUGUUUGAUGUUUAUUUGGUGAAGAAAUAGUAGAAGUGACCCUCUGCAUGUGUUUUAUUUAAUCACAGUUUGGUGUAGAUGCUCAGCUUCCUGUCCAGUGUUUUAGAGUUUGAUUAAUAAAAUCUUCUGACCUUUGUAUGAUGUCCAGUCCAGGCAAAGCUACGUGUCAGAGUUGGACACAUGAGGUCCUCCGCUGUUCAGAACUCCCGCCGAUGGCUAAGUUCAUGUUCAUUUUAAAGUUUUUAGGGCAAUUUUCUGUCUCGUCGCUGACUCAAGAACAGAAUGAAGCCUUUUUGUUGUCCUGCCGCACCCAGGUGGUUAACUGGAGUUUCUUUAUGUGUAUUCUUGCAAUAAAGUAUCAAAAUGACUGCAAAGAAGUACAAUCAUACGUUAUAUAAUGACAUAUUAAAAUGGACUGUUUGUCUUGUUUUUUUUCUAUAUUCAUUUUUAAAAAGUGAUUGCACCUUA